Oreochromis aureus is the source of this 822-nucleotide long non-coding RNA. Lineage: Eukaryota; Metazoa; Chordata; Actinopteri; Cichliformes; Cichlidae. The record is from Ensembl.
GCUGAGGCUAUCUACAACACACCAGGGCCUGUGCUGCUGGCUGAAGCAAUCUACAACACACCAGGGCCUGUGCUGCUGGCUUACGCUAUCUACAACACACCACGGCCUGUGCUGCUGGCUGAGGCUAUCUACAACACACCAGGGCCUGUGCUGCUGGCUGAGGCUAUCUACAACACACCAGGGCCUCUGCUGCUGGCUCAGGCCAUCUACAACAUACCAGGGCCGUUACUGCUGGCUAAGGCUAUCUACAACUGAAGAGGGAAUGUGCUGCUGGCUGAGGCUAUCUACAACACACCAGGCCCUCUGCUUGUGGCUAAUGCUAUCUACAACACACCAGGGCCUGUGCUGCUGGCUGAGGCACACUUAUUUCCGUCUAUGAUCGUCUGACACUACUUUCUAUUCGCUCCUCUAUGGUGGGCCUGGAUAUUGCUCCUUCAUACAAUGGCUUCUUCCCUCCUCCGCCGCCGGUGUCUGGAUUUAUGACAGAUGUCGCCAAAAGCACCCUUUUGGGUCCACUCAAAUCUCGGAGGAGGAGAGGUAAAAGAGCAGGUGUCCAGGUGAAAUUUAGACUCCUCUUCAGACGAGGAUUAGCGGGUAUGCGACGUCAAGCAUUUCUGGUUACCUGUGCUCAGAUUGCCUGUUUGGAGGAGAAUCUGUUUCCCCCUUCCCUGCUGGAUUGUGCAAAGCCUGGACUUAUGAGAUCGUGUUUCCUUAGGAAUGUUCAUCCAGACUCUCCUAUUAUUUGGCCCGCUGCCCCAGCAGCGAGCGGUAUUUAUGAUCGUUACGGAUCGAACCCCCAGUUUCUACGCCCCCUAAAACAAC